This 609-nucleotide ribosomal RNA is filed under the name Echinothrix calamaris. Its description in RNAcentral is "partial large subunit ribosomal RNA". It matches the Rfam family "Bacterial large subunit ribosomal RNA", at positions 1796 to 2619 of the family's 2925-position model. The record is from RNAcentral. Lineage: Eukaryota; Metazoa; Echinodermata; Echinoidea; Diadematoida; Diadematidae.
UCGCCUGUUUAUCAAAAACAUCGCUCUCCGACCACCAAACAUGGAGAGUCCUGCCUGCCCAGUGACUUGAACAGUUAAACGGCCGCGGUAUCCUGACCGUGCGAAGGUAGCAUAAUUACUUGUCUCCUAAAUAGAGACUGGCAUGAAUGGCAAGACGGGGCCCUACUGUCUCCUUAUCUUUUAUCUGAAAUUCACAUCUUUGUGAAGAGGCAGAGAUAAAAUCGUUAGACGAGAAGACCCUAUCGAGCUUAAGUCAAAGCAAGAGCCCAAAAUUCCCUCACCACGUCUCUAAUUUUAUUAAUUUAAUUCACGGCUAUGAGGAACUGUUUCUUGCGGGGACUUCAGUUGGGGCAACUACGGAGAAGGAAAAUCCUCCGCUAAUAUUAAUAUUUCCAGGGAAACGACCCUGAAAUUAGUUCUUAGUGAUCCAUUCCGAUGAUCAAAGGAACAAGUUACCGUAGGGAUAACAGCGUAAUCUUUUUUGAGAGUUCAUAUUGACAAAAAGGUUUGCGACCUCGAUGUUGGAUCGGGACAUCCUAAUAGUGCAGAAGCUUUUAAGGGUUGGUCUGUUCGACCAUUAAAGUCCUACAUGAUCUGAGUUCAGACCGG